GUGGGGAAUAUUGGACAAUGGGCGCAAGCCUGAUCCAGCCAUGCCGCGUGUGUGAAGAAGGCCUUCGGGUUGUAAAGCACUUUUGUCCGGGAAGAAAUCUUCCAGGUUAAUACCCUGGGAGGCUGACGGUACCGGAAGAAUAAGCACCGGCUAACUUCGUGCCAGCAGCCGCGGUAAUACGAAGGGUGCAAGCGUUACUCGGAAUUACUGGGCGUAAAGCGUGCGUAGGUGGUUCGUUAAGUCUGCCGUGAAAGCCCCGGGCUCAACCUGGGAAUGGCGGUGGAUACUGGCGGGCUAGAGUGCGGUAGAGGGUGGUGGAAUUCCCGGUGUAGCAGUGAAAUGCGUAGAGAUCGGGAGGAACAUCUGUGGCGAAGGCGGCCACCUGGACCAGCACUGACACUGAGGCACGAAAGCGUGGGGAGCAAACAGGAUUAGAUACCCCUGUAGUCC
This 450-nucleotide ribosomal RNA is filed under the name uncultured bacterium. RNAcentral describes it as "bacterial SSU rRNA". It matches the Rfam family "Bacterial small subunit ribosomal RNA", at positions 354 to 796 of the family's 1533-position model. The record is from RNAcentral.